Molecule: long non-coding RNA, 1578 nt
Organism: Mesocricetus auratus (golden hamster)
Lineage: Eukaryota; Metazoa; Chordata; Mammalia; Rodentia; Cricetidae
Exons: 3
Source: RefSeq, a predicted model, not a curated record
UGGGAGCUGGGUAGCAGGCUCCCCGAAGAGCAAAAGAGUAAAAACAAACAAACAAACAAAAACCCAAAAGAACAACAAUCACCAAAGAGGAGAAACCUUGCAGCCAGGAGGAAAACACAGUGCCAAAUGCCCCGAAUGUCCUCAGUCACUUUGCUGGUAUAUCCUGUGCUGUAAUGAAACCUCGCGGGCACUGCCUCACGUCUGUGCAGAAGUGGUCUUUGAAGGAAUUCCAGAAACGGGAGCCACCGGAUCAUCAGCAAAGACUCAUGAGUCGGAUGUUGGGGUGAAAACCUGCUAGCUCAGAGAGGCCAAGAAGCAACCAGCUGACCUUCAUUUCUGGCUGGAGACGAAGUAAGAGCACAUCUCCCCGGCUGUCUGAAACCUAAAGGACCACGGAGCUCCAAGUCCCUGUCUACACCCUUCCCGUGUCUCUCCAUCCAUCUUCCUGGCUUCUCUGUGGCUAAUUCCUGUCUACUGGUUGCUGGCUCCACCCCCAGGACCCAGGUUGAUUUUAUUAACACGGUCUCAGAUUUCACAGUGCAAUCAAAUGUUCCAGAACACAGCUUAGCAGACAAAAGGUGACAGAGAGGGGCCAUCUAAGUCUACCUGGAAUUGUAACAUCCCAGGAUGUGGGCAGAGGCAGGUGUAGCAUCAUCUAUCACCUGAUCACUCACAGGUGACUCCAUCUUGGAUGCUUGGCUAAUACACACAUUGGUACCCAGGUUGGGAAUGUCAAUACACUCCAACAGCAGGAUGCAGAUGCUGCUGUCCAGCAGAGAUGUUCUCUAGAAGCCAGGUGGGUGGUACCUUCGCUUCCCAGCAUUAUCACAGAGAAGAUCAAUGCAUAAAGAGAAAGGCUGGCCCUGACUCAAGGCCUCAGGGUCCCGAUUCUAAUCUAUGAGUAGACUGCCCUCCUGUUGAGACUUCUGGCAGAGAUUCUACGCACCAACAGCAAGGAACACACGGAAGGCCAACUGUGCUCACCUUAUGGCUAUGCAGCUAAGGAGGAGGAGUUGGGCUGCCACAGUUCUUUGGAAAAGGUCAACCCAGCAACCUGAUGACUUCUCAUAAGGCCUCUUUUCCUGAUGAACUCCCCAGUGCCUGCAAACAGCACCCUACCCCGUAAACCAAUCCUGCAAUCAUGAGCCACUAAAGGACAUUCUGCAUGCAAACUAAGCCACGAAGCGGGUUUAGGUGAGUGUGCUAUGCAGCUGGGUACCACAGCUGGAAACAGGGUCACCAAGUCCCAGCUCAGGACCAAUCCUGCCCCCACUGAGUGUGCAUGAAAUGAUCCUGGCACAAAGUCCCCACCCUGAACACAUCGUCUCUGCUGCUUGAUGUUGCUACAGCAGAGCUGAGUCUCAGCAGCAGAGGCCCUGUGACCUACAGAGCCUAAGCCAUUGACCCAGCCGCUGACGGAAGUUUCUCCACCCAAGCUCUAGCCUAUACCGUGACUUUCUGAGAGCAGAGUCGUGUCUACCUUGUUCACAUCACGUUUCCCAGCAACUAUGGCAGUCCCUGGCAUGCCGCAUGCACCCAACCAUAUGUAUUAAUGAAUAAAUUAAGUGACUGAACGAG